UACGAAUGGGGCAAGCGUUGUUCGGAAUCACUGGGCUUAAAGCGUGCGCAGGCGGUCUUGCAAGUCAGGAGUGAAAUCCCGGGGCUUAACCCCGGAAUUGCUUCUGAAGCUGCAAGACUAGAAUAUGGGAGAGGUUAGCAGAAUUCCGAGUGUAGAGGUGAAAUUCGCAGAUAUUCGGAGGAAUACCAGUGGCGAAGGCGGCUAACUGGACCAUUAUUGACGCUCAGGCACGAAAGCGUGGGGAGCAAACAGG
Molecule: ribosomal RNA, 253 nt
Filed under: uncultured prokaryote
Description: partial 16S ribosomal RNA
Rfam family: Bacterial small subunit ribosomal RNA
Source: RNAcentral